UAUGAACGCUGGCGGCGUGCCUAAUACAUGCAAGUCGAGCGAACGGACGAGAAGCUUGCUUCUCUGAUGUUAGCGGCGGACGGGUGAGUAACACGUGGAUAACCUACCUAUAAGACUGGGAUAACUUCGGGAAACCGUAGCUAAUACCGGAUAAUAUUUUGAACCGCAUGGUUCAAAAGUGAAAGACGGUCUUGCUGUCACUUAUAGAUGGAUCCGCGCUGCAUUAGCUAGUUGGUAAGGUAACGGCUUACCAAGGCAACGAUGCAUAGCCGACCUGAGAGGGUGAUCGGCCACACUGGAACUGAGACACGGUCCAGACUCCUACGGGAGGCAGCAGUAGGGAAUCUUCCGCAAUGGGCGAAAGCCUGACGGAGCAACGCCGCGUGAGUGAUGAAGGUCUUCGGAUCGCAAAACUCUGUUAUUAGGGAAGAACAUAUGUGUAAGUAACUGUGCACAUCUUGACGGUACCUAAUCAGAAAGCCACGGCUAACUACGUG
This 497-nucleotide ribosomal RNA is filed under the name uncultured bacterium. RNAcentral's name for it is "partial 16S ribosomal RNA". It matches the Rfam family "Bacterial small subunit ribosomal RNA", at positions 29 to 507 of the family's 1533-position model. The record is from RNAcentral.